UACGGAGGGGACUAGCGUUGUUCGGAAUUACUGGGCGUAAAGCGCACGUAGGCGGAUUCGUAAGUCAGGGGUGAAAUCCCGAGGCUCAACCUCGGAACUGCCUUUGAUACUGCGAAUCUCGAGUCCGGAAGAGGUGAGUGGAAUUCCUAGUGUAGAGGUGAAAUUCGUAGAUAUUAGGAAGAACACCAGUGGCGAAGGCGGCUCUCUGGGACGGUACUGACGCUGAGCCGCGACAGCGUGGGGAGCGAACAGG
RNAcentral lists this ribosomal RNA (253 nucleotides) under uncultured bacterium. Its description in RNAcentral is "partial 16S ribosomal RNA". It matches the Rfam family "Bacterial small subunit ribosomal RNA", at positions 524 to 776 of the family's 1533-position model. The record is from RNAcentral.